UACGAAGGGGGCUAGCGUUGUUCGGAUUUACUGGGCGUAAAGCGCACGUAGGCGGAUCGUUAAGUUAGAGGUGAAAUCCCAGAGCUCAACUCUGGAACUGCCUUUAAUACUGGCGAUCUUGAGUCCGAGAGAGGUGAUUGGAACUCCUAGUGUAGAGGUGGAAUUCGUAGAUAUUAGGAAGAACACCAGUGGCGAAGGCGGCUCACUGGCUCGUUUCUGACGCUCAGGCGCGACAGCGUGGGGAUCAAACAGG
RNAcentral lists this ribosomal RNA (253 nucleotides) under uncultured bacterium. RNAcentral's name for it is "partial 16S ribosomal RNA". It matches the Rfam family "Bacterial small subunit ribosomal RNA", at positions 524 to 776 of the family's 1533-position model. The record is from RNAcentral.